UACGAAGGGGGCUAGCGUUGCUCGGAAUCACUGGGCGUAAAGCGCACGUAGGCGGCUCUUUAAGUCAGAGGUGAAAUCCCAAGGCUCAACCUUGGAACUGCCUUUGAUACUGGGGAUCUUGAGUCCGGGAGAGGUGAGUGGAACUGCGAGUGUAGAGGUGAAAUUCGUAGAUAUUCGCAAGAACACCAGUGGCGAAGGCGGCUCACUGGCCCGGUACUGACGCUGAGGUGCGAAAGCGUGGGGAGCAAACAGG
Molecule: ribosomal RNA, 253 nt
Filed under: uncultured bacterium
Lineage: Bacteria
Description: partial 16S ribosomal RNA
Rfam family: Bacterial small subunit ribosomal RNA
Source: RNAcentral